Molecule: ribosomal RNA, 323 nt
Filed under: uncultured eukaryote
Lineage: Eukaryota
Description: partial 18S ribosomal RNA
Rfam family: Eukaryotic small subunit ribosomal RNA
Source: RNAcentral
CCCUUAGAUGUUCUGGGCUGCACGCGUGCUACACUGAUAUUGCCAAUAUGUCAUUCUUAUCCGAAAUGGAUUGGGUAAUCAAGUAAUGAAAUUUCAUGCUUGGAAUCGGUAAUUGCAAUUUUAUCGUGAACGAGGAAUUCCUAGUAAGCACUAGUCAUCAGCUAAUGUUGAUUAUGUCCCUGCCCUUUGUACACACCGCCCGUCGCUACUACUGAUUGGGUGUUCAAGUGAGAUGCUUAGACCCUUGUUGCAUGGUUCAUUAUUGUGCUCCGAAAGGAAAAAGUUUCAAGCUUGAGUAUCUAGAGGAAGUAAAAGUCGUAACA